This 1745-nucleotide ribosomal RNA is filed under the name Lactiplantibacillus plantarum. RNAcentral's name for it is "partial contains 16S ribosomal RNA, 16S-23S ribosomal RNA intergenic spacer, and 23S ribosomal RNA". The stretch from base 1 to 1517 matches the Rfam family "Bacterial small subunit ribosomal RNA". The record is from RNAcentral. Lineage: Bacteria; Bacillati; Bacillota; Bacilli; Lactobacillales; Lactobacillaceae.
UAUACAUGCAGUCGAACGAACUCUGGUAUUGAUUGGUGCUUGCAUCAUGAUUUACAUUUGAGUGAGUGGCGAACUGGUGAGUAACACGUGGGAAACCUGCCCAGAAGCGGGGGAUAACACCUGGAAACAGAUGCUAAUACCGCAUAACAACUUGGACCGCAUGGUCCGAGUUUGAAAGAUGGCUUCGGCUAUCACUUUUGGAUGGUCCCGCGGCGUAUUAGCUAGAUGGUGGGGUAACGGCUCACCAUGGCAAUGAUACGUAGCCGACCUGAGAGGGUAAUCGGCCACAUUGGGACUGAGACACGGCCCAAACUCCUACGGGAGGCAGCAGUAGGGAAUCUUCCACAAUGGACGAAAGUCUGAUGGAGCAACGCCGCGUGAGUGAAGAAGGGUUUCGGCUCGUAAAACUCUGUUGUUAAAGAAGAACAUAUCUGAGAGUAACUGUUCAGGUAUUGACGGUAUUUAACCAGAAAGCCACGGCUAACUACGUGCCAGCAGCCGCGGUAAUACGUAGGUGGCAAGCGUUGUCCGGAUUUAUUGGGCGUAAAGCGAGCGCAGGCGGUUUUUUAAGUCUGAUGUGAAAGCCUUCGGCUCAACCGAAGAAGUGCAUCGGAAACUGGGAAACUUGAGUGCAGAAGAGGACAGUGGAACUCCAUGUGUAGCGGUGAAAUGCGUAGAUAUAUGGAAGAACACCAGUGGCGAAGGCGGCUGUCUGGUCUGUAACUGACGCUGAGGCUCGAAAGUAUGGGUAGCAAACAGGAUUAGAUACCCUGGUAGUCCAUACCGUAAACGAUGAAUGCUAAGUGUUGGAGGGUUUCCGCCCUUCAGUGCUGCAGCUAACGCAUUAAGCAUUCCGCCUGGGGAGUACGGCCGCAAGGCUGAAACUCAAAGGAAUUGACGGGGGCCCGCACAAGCGGUGGAGCAUGUGGUUUAAUUCGAAGCUACGCGAAGAACCUUACCAGGUCUUGACAUACUAUGCAAAUCUAAGAGAUUAGACGUUCCCUUCGGGGACAUGGAUACAGGUGGUGCAUGGUUGUCGUCAGCUCGUGUCGUGAGAUGUUGGGUUAAGUCCCGCAACGAGCGCAACCCUUAUUAUCAGUUGCCAGCAUUAAGUUGGGCACUCUGGUGAGACUGCCGGUGACAAACCGGAGGAAGGUGGGGAUGACGUCAAAUCAUCAUGCCCCUUAUGACCUGGGCUACACACGUGCUACAAUGGAUGGUACAACGAGUUGCGAACUCGCGAGAGUAAGCUAAUCUCUUAAAGCCAUUCUCAGUUCGGAUUGUAGGCUGCAACUCGCCUACAUGAAGUCGGAAUCGCUAGUAAUCGCGGAUCAGCAUGCCGCGGUGAAUACGUUCCCGGGCCUUGUACACACCGCCCGUCACACCAUGAGAGUUUGUAACACCCAAAGUCGGUGGGGUAACCUUUUAGGAACCAGCCGCCUAAGGUGGGACAGAUGAUUAGGGUGAAGUCGUAACAAGGUAGCCGUAGGAGAACCUGCGGCUGGAUCACCUCCUUUCUAAGGAAUAUUACGGAAACCUACACAUUCUUCGAAACUUUGUUUAGUUUUGAGAGAUUUAACUCUCAAAACUUGUUCUUUGAAAACUAGAUAAUAUCAAAUAUAUUUUUUCAUAAUGAAACCGAGAACACCGCGUUUUUUGAGUUUUUUAUUGAAGUUUAAUUAUCGCUAAACUCAUUAAUCGCAUUUACCGUUAGGUAAAUGAGGUUAAGUUAACAAGGGCGCAUG